GACGAACGCUGGCGGCGUGCCUAAUACAUGCAAGUCGAGCGCAGGAAGCCGUCUGAACCCUUCGGGGGGACGACGGCGGAAUGAGCGGCGGACGGGUGAGUAACACGUAAAGAACCUGCCCAUAGGUCUGGGAUAACCACGAGAAAUCGGGGCUAAUACCGGAUGUGUCAUCGGACCGCAUGGUCCGCUGAUGAAAGGCGCUCCGGCGUCGCCCACGGAUGGCUUUGCGGUGCAUUAGCUAGUUGGUGGGGUAACGGCCCACCAAGGCGACGAUGCAUAGCCGACCUGAGAGGGUGAUCGGCCACACUGGGACUGAGACACGGCCCAGACUCCUACGGGAGGCAGCAGUAGGGAAUCUUCCACAAUGGACGAAAGUCUGAUGGAGCAACGCCGCGUGAACGAUGAAGGCUUUCGGGUCGUAAAGUUCUGUUGUAAGGGAAGAACAAGUGCCGCAGGCAAUGGCGGCACCUUGACGGUACCUUGCGAGAAAGCCACGGCUAACUACGUGCCAGCCGCCGCGGUAA
RNAcentral lists this ribosomal RNA (524 nucleotides) under uncultured bacterium. Its description in RNAcentral is "partial 16S ribosomal RNA". It matches the Rfam family "Bacterial small subunit ribosomal RNA", at positions 28 to 523 of the family's 1533-position model. The record is from RNAcentral.